UACGUAGGUGGCAAGCGUUGUUCGGAAUCACUGGGCAUAAAGCGCGCGUAGGCGGUCUGUUAAGUUGGAUGUGAAAGCCCUCGGCCCAACCGAGGAACGGCGUCCAAAACUGGCGGACUUGAGGCUUGGAGAGGUGCAUGGAAUUCCUGGUGGAGCGGUGAAAUGCGUUGAUAUCAGGAGGAACACCGGAGGCGAAGGCGAUGCACUGGCCAAGCACUGACGCUGAGGUGCGAAAGCUAGGGGAGCAAACGGG
RNAcentral lists this unclassified non-coding RNA (253 nucleotides) under uncultured Planctomycetota bacterium. RNAcentral's name for it is "uncultured planctomycete contains 16S-23S intergenic spacer region". It matches the Rfam family "Bacterial small subunit ribosomal RNA", at positions 524 to 776 of the family's 1533-position model. Lineage: Bacteria; Pseudomonadati; Planctomycetota. The record is from RNAcentral.